RNAcentral lists this ribosomal RNA (215 nucleotides) under uncultured bacterium. RNAcentral's name for it is "partial 16S ribosomal RNA". It matches the Rfam family "Bacterial small subunit ribosomal RNA", at positions 524 to 734 of the family's 1533-position model. The record is from RNAcentral.
UACGUAGGGUGCAAGCGUUAAUCGGAAUUACUGGGCGUAAAGCGUGCGCAGGCGGUUAUAUAAGACAGUUGUGAAAUCCCCGGGCUCAACCUGGGAACUGCAUCUGUGACUGUAUAGCUAGAGUACGGUAGAGGGGGAUGGGAAUUCCGCGUGUAGCAGUGAAAUGCGUAGAUAUGCGGGAGGAACACCGAUGGCGAAGGGCAAUCCCCCUGGAC